RNAcentral lists this ribosomal RNA (500 nucleotides) under uncultured bacterium. Its description in RNAcentral is "partial 16S ribosomal RNA". It matches the Rfam family "Bacterial small subunit ribosomal RNA", at positions 29 to 523 of the family's 1533-position model. The record is from RNAcentral.
AUUGAACGCUGGCGGCAUGCCUUACACAUGCAAGUCGAACGGUAACAGGUCUUCGGAUGCUGACGAGUGGCGAACGGGUGAGUAAUACAUCGGAACGUGCCCGAUCGUGGGGGAUAACGAAGCGAAAGCUUUGCUAAUACCGCAUACGAUCUACGGAUGAAAGCAGGGGACCGCAAGGCCUUGCGCGAACGGAGCGGCCGAUGGGUCAGAUUAGGUAGUUGGGGGGAUAAAAGCGUACCAAACCGAAGAUCUGUAGCUGGUCUGAGAGGACGAGCAGCAACAUCGUGACGGAGUCACGGCCCCGAAUCGUACGGGAGGGAGCAGUGGGGAAUGUGGGACAAUGGGAGAGAGGCUAAUCCAGGCAUGCCGCGUGCAGGAUGAAGGCCUUCAGGUUGUAAACUGCUGUUGUUCGGAACGAAAAGACGCUGGUUAAUUCCUGGGGUCGAUGACGGUACCGUAAGAAUAAGCGCCGGCUAACUACGUGCCAGCCGCCGCCGUAA